CGGAAACGUGAGCGACGUUGGAUUAAAAUUAGCGAAAGCAUGCGAUUGGGUCAGUUGGGAUGUCUCUAAUGUGAUUAGGGACUAAGAUGAAUUGAUGUUUGUUCUUCACUCUUGGUGUUGUGUCGGGCGGCCGACAACAUAAUGCUUUGGAGUGAGGAUGGAUACAUAAGUUGCUUUCGCCGAAUUGGUUAUGGUUGAGUAAUAUUGAUCGUGUAGUUAAUGUGAGUUGCUUCAUUUCAGGAAGCAAUGGCUCGUGGUGGACCUCGAACA
This 270-nucleotide long non-coding RNA is filed under the name Ananas comosus (pineapple). Its description in RNAcentral is "long non-coding RNA (ACOM_LNC003675)". Lineage: Eukaryota; Viridiplantae; Streptophyta; Magnoliopsida; Poales; Bromeliaceae. The record is from RNAcentral.